Molecule: ribosomal RNA, 446 nt
Filed under: uncultured bacterium
Lineage: Bacteria
Description: partial 16S ribosomal RNA
Rfam family: Bacterial small subunit ribosomal RNA
Source: RNAcentral
CCUACGGGAGGCAGCAGUCGAGAAUCAUUCACAAUGGGGGAAACCCUGAUGGUGCGACGCCGCGUGGGGGAAUGAAGGUCUUCGGAUUGUAAACCCCUGUCAUGUGGGAGCAAAUUAAAAAGAUAGUACCACAAGAGGAAGAGACGGCUAACUCUGUGCCAGCAGCCGCGGUAAUACAGAGGUCUCAAGCGUUGUUCGGAAUCACUGGGCGUAAAGCGUGCGUAGGCUGUUUCGUAAGUCGUGUGUGAAAGGCGCGGGCUCAACCCGCGGACGGCACAUGAUACUGCGAGACUAGAGUAAGGGAGGGGGAACCGGAAUUCUCGGUGUAGCAGUGAAAUGCGUAGAUAUCGAGAGGAACACUCGUGGCGAAGGCGGGUUCCUGGACAGUAACGGACGCUGAGGCACGAAGGCCAGGGGAGCGAAAGGGAUUAGAUACCCCGGUAGUC